This 253-nucleotide ribosomal RNA is filed under the name uncultured bacterium. RNAcentral describes it as "partial 16S ribosomal RNA". It matches the Rfam family "Bacterial small subunit ribosomal RNA", at positions 524 to 776 of the family's 1533-position model. The record is from RNAcentral.
UACGAAGGGGGCUAGCGUUGUUCGGAAUUACUGGGCGUAAAGCGUACGUAGGCGGUUAUUUAAGUCAGGGGUGAAAUCCCAAGGCUCAACCUUGGAAUUGCCUUUGAAACUGGAUAGCUAGAGACCGUUAGAGGUUAGUGGAAUACCUAGUGUAGGAGUGAAAUCCGUAGAUAUUAGGUGGAACAUCGAUUGCGAAGGCAGCUAACUGGGACGGUACUGACGCUAAUGUACGAAAGCGUGGGGAGCAAACAGG